This 956-nucleotide long non-coding RNA is filed under the name Olea europaea subsp. europaea. Lineage: Eukaryota; Viridiplantae; Streptophyta; Magnoliopsida; Lamiales; Oleaceae. The record is from RNAcentral.
CUUUUGGUUUAUUUUGUCUUCUUUUAUCUUUAUAAUCACUUCUUUUAAUUGCAUAUUUUGCAGGUACACCUGGAAGGGGGGUGGUGGCGAGGGGGGGGGGUCAAGAAGGAUGGAAGUAACUGACCAGAUCUAUGGAUCUGAAUUCGGAAAACAGAGACAAGGACAUGAUAAAAUUUCAUGUACCUAAGGUUAGCAUUGUGAAGAAAAACUUAAUCAUGGGACUAUUAGAAACGAUGUUUUAAAGAUCAAAUUCGAACAUUGACUCGGAAAAGGUUAAAAUUCCAACAGUCGAACCGAUUCACCAAGGUUGAAUUGGUGAAAAAAAAAAAAAAUUGUUGAGGGUUUCGAUUUUAACUGGUGGGUUCUUACUUCUUAGCGUUGAAGAAUGUUGGAUUGUCCUCAUCAAGUAAUUGACACCCUUUCUUGUAAAUCAAAACUGUGCAAAAAACACGAAAGGUCACCCAACUUCCCCUUAAAUUUCAGCUGGGACCAUCUAACAUUUGUUCUGAACUGAUUACUAAAAUUUUCCAAUUUAUUUUGACAAGUGGAAGUUGAUUAGAUAAAAUUAGCUCACUUGUCAAAAUACAAAAUUAAGACGAGAGUUCCUCUAAAAUUUGAUACGAAUAUUUUAUCAAGUUGAGUGGAGCUAAUCUCAAAUAUAUAAAUAGGGAUGGAAAGUUGUGUGUUGAGUUAUGAGCGUGAACCAAACAUUGAAUCCAACAUGUCACUCACAAACAGAGGCUCGAGUGGAAGAACGGGUAAAAAAUUAGCAUAAUUUUCACAUACGGUGUUUGCAAUUUUGAGGGGAAAAAAAUAAUAAAAUGGUAAGCCUAUCUCAGAAGGCAAGCAUGUGGGACAGGUUGAAUUCAAUUUUUUUUAGGUGAGUUGGUUCGCAACACAAGAAAGCUCAAAUAAGCUCUUCCUAUUUAAUACCUCUAUAUAAAGGUCCCGUUUGG